RNAcentral lists this non-coding RNA (25 nucleotides) under Mus musculus (house mouse). The record is from RNAcentral. Lineage: Eukaryota; Metazoa; Chordata; Mammalia; Rodentia; Muridae.
UCCAAGGAGAGGAUCUUAACUGAGC